GAUGAAGAACGUAGCGAAAUGCGAUAACUAAUGUGAAUUGCAGAAUUCAGUGAAUCAUCGAGUCUUUGAACGCACAUUGCGCCCCCUGGUAUUCCGGGGGGCAUGCCUGUCCGAGCGUCAUUGCUGCCCUCAAGCACGGCUUGUGUGUUGGGCUCCGUCCCCCCGGGGACGGGCCCGAAAGGCAGCGGCGGCACCGAGUCCGGUCCUCGAGCGUAUGGGGCUUUGUCACCCGCGCUGUAGGCCCGGCCGGCGCCAGCCGACAACCCAUCAUCCUUUUCAGGUUGACCUCGGAUCAGGUAGGGAUACCCGCUGAACUUAAGCAUAUCAAUAAGCGGAGGA
This 339-nucleotide unclassified non-coding RNA is filed under the name soil metagenome. Its description in RNAcentral is "partial contains 5.8S ribosomal RNA, internal transcribed spacer 2, and large subunit ribosomal RNA". The stretch from base 1 to 120 matches the Rfam family "5.8S ribosomal RNA", at positions 35 to 154 of the family's 154-position model. The record is from RNAcentral.